This 18542-nucleotide long non-coding RNA is filed under the name Gossypium raimondii (Peruvian cotton). RNAcentral describes it as "long non-coding RNA (GRAI_LNC004213)". The record is from RNAcentral. Lineage: Eukaryota; Viridiplantae; Streptophyta; Magnoliopsida; Malvales; Malvaceae.
UCGGCAAUCCAAUCGUCAGACGAUGGCCGGAAAACCAAAGAUUGAACGAAGUCAAGCCCAAAGAAACCCAAAAGGUAAAUAAACGAUGCGAAAAACGCGAGAAUCGCGAUGAUCUCAGAAAAGGUGACGACAUGGAGAGGCGUGGAGGUACGGAUCUUCUCACGCCAACGGGAAAGAAGGAAAUAAACCACCGAGAAGAAGAGGGUAAAGAACACCGCAUUCGUCAGAUGAAAAGGAAGCGGCAAUGCGUCGGAGGCUUUAGUGGGAUCUUCCUCUAAAGGAAUCUUCUUCGUGGGCUUGAGAGAUUGAACUCGUUUAGUCGAAUACAGCCGGGGAGCCUCCAUUUUGGGUGUCGACGGCGGCGGAAACCCGGCGGUGGAGGAGGAGAAUAGAAGAGGAAUGAAAGUAAGAGAUGAUUUCAGUUAGUUUUACGAUUAUGGUGAAGGUGGAGCUUGAGAUGCUAGAGUUUAGGGAGGGAAGGGGAGUAUUUAUAGGAUAAAGAGUAAAGAGAGCGUGAGGAAAAAGGCGCGUGAAGUGAAGAUGGGGCAGUGUUUGGCACUUGUUAGUGUGGAGCUUUACCAAGAGAAGAGUCAAAGAAAGAAUUAUAGGGAUAGUGUUUGGAAGCGUGCAGUGCAUGGGAGCAACGUCGUCAGCACAUCCUGGCUGCUUCAUUUUCAUUUAGGGUAAACUACACAAUCAGUCACUAAAGUAUGGGUACGUUUUUGUUUUGAUCACUGAACUAAAAAAGUUACAAUUUUGUUACUGAACUAUUCAAAAGUUUCCAUUUAAGUCACUGAGCUGUUAAAAUCGAUGCUACACAGCUUUUUCUCUUCACACUGCCUACAUGAAUCGGAAGUUCUCUUUCCCUUUCUUUUUUACGAUUCAAUUUUUUUCUACAACUUUUUUCUUCGUUAGAAAAUGACCUUCAGAUCGACUUGAAUCUAAGAUAUGUUCUUUUACUUGCUAAUGGGUAUUGAUCCACUGUACCAGUCGUUGAGUCGUCACUUGGAGCUCGUUGACAGAAUUUUUAAAAAAAAAUAGUUAACAACCUAGUGACUUAAACAAUUUUUUUUGAAUAGUUCAAUGACUUAAAUGAAAAAUUUCAAAUAUUUUAGUGACCAAAUUGUAACUUUUUAGUUAAGUGACCAAAACGAAAACUUAUCCAUAAUUUAGUGACUAAUAAUAUAAUUUUCCAUUCAUUAUAUUUGGUCUUUCUCCCUAUUUUGAUAUUUUCUGUCACGUGUUUUUCAUUAUUGUAUGGGUUUAAUUAUUCCUUAUUUUGGGUUGUUUUUCAUAAUAAAUUAUCCAAAUAAAUAUUAACGCUGUUGUUAAGUUAUAUACAUUUUUGGGCAAAUGUCUAUUAAAAGAAAUAGAAAUGAAAGAAAGUCGUAUUUAUUAUUAGCAUAAUUUUUUUACCUUCCAAAUUUAUAAAAAAAUUAUUUAUUUUAUCUCUUUUAGUCUUUCAAUUUAUUUUUUUAUCAAAUUAUUUCAAAAUGAAUUAAAAAGUUAAAAUUCUUUAACUUUGUUGAUGUUACAUACACGUGGAUUACCAUCUAGAUAACACAUAAAUAUUUAAAAUCUUAAAAACAUUAACAAAUAUAUAUUUUUAUAAUUUUAUACUUUUAUAAUACUUUUAUUGGUUUUUAAAUUUUAAAAAUAGUUUUUAAAAAUAUAUUUUUAAAAUUUUAAAUUUAAAAAAAUUAAUUAAAUACCGGCGUGUUAUCCACGUGACAAUGCACGUGUAUUCAAGUAAGCAAAGUUAAACAACAUCAACUUUUUCAUUCAUUUUGAGGUAAUUUGAUAAAAAAAUUAGUUUAAGAGCUAAAAAAGGACAAAAUUAAAUAGAAAACUAAAAUGACAUUUUUUUGUAAAGUUAAAGAAUCAAAUAAAUUAUUAUGCCUUUAUUAUUUAAUAAAAUUUAUGCAAAGUAGGACUUUGACUUGAAUUCAUAAUUAAUUUUGAUUUUUUCCUUUUGCUCGUAAUUAAUUGGAUAAGUUUAUAAUUUAAAUUAAUAUGUAAAAAAAUUAAAAUAUAGAGCUUUCACAGCUCAUUUUUCCUUUUUAGAUUAUUAUUUUUUUGCAUGUUUAUUAAAUUAAAGUUCAAAUUUGACAUUUUUAAUAUUUUAAUAUAAUCAAAUUAGACCUAUUUUAUAUUAAAUAAAAUCUAACCCAUUCUUUAAUCCUUAAUUUUCACGUUUCUGUAUUUUUUUCCCAUCAAUUCAAGCAGCCUCUUGCUCUGUAGUCAUAUGUAUGUAUAUAUGACAAUAAUUAUUAUUCGGUUUACGUGGACUUUUAUACAAUAAUGAAGAUUUUUUUUAGGGUAAAUUAUUAAAACAUCAUUUCAAAAAUCAAGUGUAAUAAACAAAAUCCUUAAUCCAAUAAUAAUAAUAAUAAUAAAUUGGAUCUUUGAAUUAUCGUUUCUAUCACGACUCUUGAUAAUUAAUUACUGACAUGAUAAGUGAUGUGGUGGGUGACAUGAAACUUUUGAUGAUAUGGUGGUUGAUAUGGAGGACUUAAUUGAUUUUUGUUAUUAUUUUAGGAGGCUUAAUUGAUGUUUAAGGAUUAUAUAACAAUUCUUAAGAAAUUAUUGAAAAUUAUUAAAAAAACAAAAAUGGAAAGAAAAUAUUAAAAUUAUUAUAAAAUUUUAGCUAAAAGUUAUUAAAAUAUUUAAAAAAUGUUGAAAAUUAUACAACUAUAGAAUUUAUUAAAUAUCAUAAAAUUUUAAAACUAUUAUUAAUAUGUUAUGAAAAUAAUGGAAAUAUUAAAUUAAUAUUAUAAAAAAUUUAGAAAUGAUAGGAAAUGAUAUAAAAACAAUUAAAAUGAUAAAAAAAUAAAAAUAAAAAUUAUUGAAAGUAUAAAAAAUUUGAGUUAAGGUAGUGAUUGUAUAGACGAUAAAAAUUUUAUAUGCUUAAAAGUUAAUGACAUGGUUUAUUCUAUUCGUGCCUAAAAACAUUAAUUUAUAAAAUAAUUUAUUUUUAUAAAUAUUAAUAUAUACACUUUUUUAGAUUGAUAUGAUAGAAAAAUCGAAUCGAUUAAAAAUUUUACAAUAAAAUGAUUUAAAAAAAAAAUAAAGAAUGUUUUUUGGGCUACGUAAAAGAAUAUUGAUCACUCUAUAAGACUGGUUUUUUAUAUCCUUUUGCAUAUAUUUUAGUAGAUAAGGGAGAAAUUAUUUUCUUUACGCCUCUGGUUUCUAUACGGCUGAAAUUUUCAUUCAGUCAAUGACAUGAAUUUCAAAAUAGGAUGCCUAUUUAAUUUUUAUAAAUACAAAUGAUUGUACCCAAAUAUAAUAAUUUGCAUGCGUAUAUAUAUUUGAAUAAUUUCUGAUAGUUCUCUUUAAUAUUACUUAUAGUCUAUUCCCAGCUCAUAAAUAGGAGGAUAAUGUGAUUCAGCAUACUCAAACCCACGUCAUCUUGCAUUGAAAACAAUAAUCAUACUAAUCGAACUAAGACUCAAUCAACAAUUUGCAUAAUUCAUGCAAUUGGUGAUUAUUAUAAAACAACAUUCAAUAAAUAUUAAUAUUCAAAUGUUAAAUUUAUAAUUGUUUGUGCUAUUUUAGGUUCCAACAAGUUAAAAAUUCGUGUUGGGUUAGUUUUUUUUAUAUAUAUGUUUCUGGAGAUCUGUUAAAGGAUGCAGUCAAUUAUCAGGAGUCACUCUCGAAGGGUCUUAUCAUAUAAUAGAACACAAUAAUGGUAUUUGUUAAAAUUGGAAUCUAAGAUGGUGAAAAGGAGGAUAGCCACCUUUGACUUAACCUUUUGUACAUUAUGGAUGCGAUGAGUCUCUUGAUUGAUCGAAGUUUAUUGUCAGCCUUUUGUACAUCACAGAUGCAGUGAGUCUCUUGACAGAUAUUUCUUGGUUGACUGGAGUUUAUUGUCAGGUUGGUUUGAUGAUGGCACGAUUAAGAUACAAUUUUCAAUGGUUUGAUCAAGAUGGUACAUUUUUUGUUUGUUUUUGAAUUCUUUUAGAGUUACGAAUAUUUUACAAACAUAUAACAUAUGAGCAUCAAUUUAUAAUUUAUUAUAUCCCAUAUUUUUAUAUUCUUAUUAUUCAUGAUUGCUAUUAAUGAUAUGUUUUCUUUGUACAUAUAUGAAAUAGACGAUAAGAUUGAAGUAAUUUCUUUUUCCAAAAUAAUAAGCAUGCAUGAGAAUUGUUCAUCGCCAUGUGCUAAAGACUUGGACUGUUUGUCAAAGUUCUCUUCAAAAAAAUCAUAUAACUCACAAUGAAAGUUUAUAUAUAUAUAUAUAUAUAUAUAUAUAUAAGCAUAGUCAGGCCAACCAAUGUAGAAAAAAACUAACAUGAUAUCAUCUUUUCUUAUUGCCCAGUAUUUAUUUAGCAAAUAUUGACUGUAAUAUUGUCAUGAUUAGACCAUAUUAUUUUUGGACAAGAACAAGGUCAUUUCCAGUAAAUUCAAAAUAAAAUAUUAACUUAGUUUUAAAAUUAGAUUAAAAAGACAAUGUAACCCAAAAAGUUCAAAUAAGCCCCUAUUUUAAUAAAAUCAGUAGGUUCAAAUUUAAAAUUUCGAACAAAAUUAGGUGUCUAUAUAGAUAUUUUGUUAAAUACCAAAAUUUCCAAUGAAUUAUCAAAAUUUCUAAACUUAUACCAGAAUACCAAAAUUUCUAAAGUAAUAGUUGAUAUACCAAAGAUAUUACGUUAUAUGCCACAAUUUUAAGGGAAUACCAAUAUUUCUAAGCAAUCUCAUUAGAAAUUUUGGUAUACCAAAUCAUGUUACACAAACUUUUACCAAAAUUUCUAAGAGUUCAACAUUUUAGAUCACAAUUUCAAAGUAAAUAUCAAUAUUUCUAAGGAACCUCAUUAGAAAUUUUGGUAUACCAAAAUCAUGUUGCACAAGCCUAUACCAAGAUUUUUAAUGAAAUGCUAAAAUUUCUAAGCGCAUAUCUUUAGAUAUUUUGGUAUACCCAAAUCGCGUUAUAGAAGCUUUUACCAAAAUUUCUAAAAGAAUAGUAAUAUUUCUAAGGAACCUUGCUAGAAAUUUUGGUAUAUCAAAAUCAUGUUACACAAGCCUAUACCAAAAUUUUCUAGUGAAAUACCAAAACUUCUAAGCACAUAUCUUUAGAUAUUUUAGUAUAUGCUUCAAUUUCUAAGGGUACCAAUAUUUCUAUGGAACUUUGUCAAAAAUUUUGGUAUGCCAAAAUCAUUUUACACAAGAUUUUACCAAAAUUUCUUAGAGCUUAACCUUAGAUAUUUUGGUAUGUAGCGCAAUUCUUAAGGGAAUAUCAAUAUUUCUAAACAACCUCGUUAGAAAUUUUGGAAUACUAAAAUUAUGUUACACAAGCCUAUAUUAAUAUCUUUAAUGAAAUAUUGAAGUUUUUAAGAGCUUAUCCUUAGAUGUUUUGACAUAUACCACUUUUUGUAAGGGAAUACCAAUAUUUCUAUAGAACUCUGUUAAAAAUUUUAGUAUACCGAAAUCUAGAUUUACAAACUUAUAUCAAGAAUUCUAACAAAAUACCAAUAUUUCUAAUAGCAUAUCCUUAAAUAAUUUGAUAUAUUCCAAAAUUUAUAAUGGAAGACCAAAAUUUCUAUAACUUUCAAUGAACUACAGUUCUUGGUAAAUCUAUAUACCUAUAUAUAUAUAUAUAUAUAUGAAAGGAAAAACAUCCUCCUUUUCUUGAUAGAUGGCACACCUAAAAUCAAUGGCGGACGUUAUAGAUGGCACACCUACAAUCAAUGGCGGAGUCAAGUAGAGGCUUAGGGGACCAUGACCUCCCAAAGUUUAAUUUUUUUUAAUUUAGUCCUUUGUAAAUAUACUAUGGCCCUUCCUAAAAUAUAAGUAGAUCCUCCUAAAGUUUAAGAUUUUUGCAAUUUCCCCCUUUAUAUAUAUUAUGGUUCUCCUAAAAAUAUAAAUACUCCCCUCCAAUAUUUUUAUAGUAUUAAAAAUAAAAUUAAAAAAAUUAUUCUUGAUAAAAACAAAGAAAAAUAUUCUUGAAGAUGCUAAAUUACUCAUGAUGACUUUUGAAUGAUAUUUUUGUUAAAAAAUAAUAAAUCAAUUGUUAUAUUGAAAUACUCCUUCUUUUGAAUUGAUUGUUUAUAUGUUUAAAUCGAUUGUUACGUAACACGUCUAAUUUUAGCAUGAUCCCCUCCAAAAUUAACAUCUUGGCUCCGCCACUGCCUACAAUACUCCUUUUAUUUUGCAUUCAAUAAAAAAAGUUAAAUUUCAAUUUCGGUUCAUCUAAUAUGCCUAAACUUGAGAUUUAAUAUAUAUACUUUAAUUUCUAACAUAAUUUGGUUUCUAUAUAUUAUUAUAAUAUUAUUAAUCAGUUCAAAUAGUUAAUAUUAUUCACUUUUCAAUUAAAAUAUUAUAUGGUUAUAUAUAAUUUGAAUACCUUAAUAGUCUUGGAGGCUAACAUACAGCUUUUUGUUUCAUUUAAGUUCGUGUCAUUUUUUUAACAUUAUAAGAUAAUGGUCAAAUUUUAUUUUUGGCCUCUAGACUAUGUUAAAACUUGAGAUUAAUCUAUAUACUUUAAUAUUUUACAUAAUUUGGGCUAUCUACUUUUAUAAUGUCAUUAGCUGGUCUAAAUAAUUAAUAUUAUUAACUAUUUUAAUUAAAAUGUUGGGUAAAUUUUUCUUAAGAACAUUAUUUCAAGAAGAAAAAAAUUAUUUUAUCGAAUUUAAAUGAGUGUUUUUAAGAGAAACUCCUAAUCAAUAUUUUUAACAUUAUUUUUAUUGUUACAUGACUAUUAAGGGAAUCUUUUUAUUUUAAAAUGUCCACCAGAGAAUUUAAUAUAAUAAUUUUAUCGAUGGUAACAAUUGAGCUAAAAUUUUUAAUUUGAAAAGUAGAUAAUUAUGUUCUUAAAAAUAAAAGUAAGACUAAAUUUCAAAUGAACAAAGUGUAUCAGGUCUUAGAGUAUAUUUUAAUCUUCAAAUUUUUACUUUAUAAUUUCACACAAAUAAAUAAUCAACUUAACGUGAAGCAUGAGAUGAGAACCUUAUUAGUAUUUUUCAAAAGUUGCUUAAUGCGCUUUAAAAGUUAUCAAGUAUUUUACAUUAAGGCAAAAAAAAAGAGAGAGAGUAAACUACACUCAAUUUCACUAAACUACUAGUAAAUUUACAUUUAGGUUACUCAACUUCAGAAAGUUAUAAAAUGAUCAUUGAACUAUUUGAAAGUUUUCAUUUAACUUGGCGGACUGUUAAAAUCAUUGAUGUAUGGCCUUUCCUAUUUGCAUCGCAAACACCAAUUGAAAGCUUUCCUUCCCUUUCUCUUCUACAUUUCAAUUUUUUUUCAUGAAAUAACUUUGAACGUGACAAAUCUGUAAACAAAAAUCUAAACAGCUUUCUUCUUUAAUCUCUAACACUAAUCGUCAGAUCAACUUGAAUAUAAUGCAUGUUCUUCUACUCAUCAAUUGGUACAGAUCCAUCGUACUGAUCGUUGAACCAUUGCUUGGAGCUCGCUAGCUUGGCCUUUUAAAAAAAAAAAAACCCUUUAUAACCCAAUGACUUAAAUGAGAGUGACCAUUCUGUAAUAUUUUGAAGUUGAGUGAUUUGAAUAUAAACCUACUAAUAGUUAUCUUUGGUUUAGUUUACCCAAAAAUAUAUAUUAUAUAUAGUUAAUAUAUGUCAUAAGUCCCUAUACUAUUCAUAAAAUUGAAAUUUAAUCCAUCUUAAUUUCUAGAAAUUUAAUCCUAUACUUUAAAGAUUUUUCAAAAUUCAAAUUCAAUUGUUAACAUUGUUAAAAUUAUUUUAUUAAAUUCAUGUUCGUUAUAACAUUAUAUUUCUAUCAAGUGAGUUUUUUUUUAAAUGUCACGCCAAUAAAUUUUAAAAAAAAAUAAUGUUAACAAGUGUACCAAUAUUUUGAAAUCUCAAGAGUAGAAGAAUUAAAUUCUUGAAAAUAAAAAGCAUAAGAACUAAAUUUGAAAUUUAUGAAGAGUACAAUGAUUUAUGACAUAUAUAAACCUAUAUAUAAUAAAAGAAAGGAAAAAACAAAAAUACCAAAUAAAUACCAACAAGUGUUAAGGACAACAUAUCGCAUAGGAGACACAAGUUUAAAUUUUGAACACAAUAUAGUUAGGAGAAGCAGCCAUAAACCCAAACACAAACAGUAAAAGGGACAUUUAAAAUACCAAAAAAAUUACAAAAUAAAUAAAAAAAAACUACAAAGGGAAGUUUAUGCUGCAAGAGAUGAAACGCUGUGGACCAACUAAUUUUUACUCGUCAACUAAUUGGGUAUAGAUCCUUUGUUCCAUAUUCAUCAUCUACCAUUGUAAGAUAUGGCUUCCAAGGCCUCCCUGACGGUAUCAGAGUAAUUCUGUGCCUCUCUAAUGAAAUUAAUUGAUGACGGUUGGCCGGCUCGAAACACAACCUCAUUUCUCAUUUUCCGGAUAAUAAACAGACACCCAAAAGUUAAGACUGUAUCCUGAUCACUGAAGACAACCAGUGAGAGAUAUUAUACCGUGACAAUAAAUGGGAUGUACAUCUAAGCUAGACACAAGGAGAUAUGUCUCCUUAGUACUUUCUACCAUUGGAGAUUGCAACUUUACCCCCAAAUAUCAGACUAUCGUUACGUUUUCUCUAUGAAGAAGCCUUGGACACAUCCUUAGUUGACCUAUUGUACUUCAUAUGGCUCUUAACUAAUUGUCCUGCUGCAAUUGCAGACAUAAGCGACAGCUCCCCUGCAAGAACAGCAGACGCUACAAUGGUUGCCAGCGUCCUAGAGUUUGCUCCUGGUGUCUCUUUGCUUGCACCCUUCACUCCAAGUAAGUUCAAACAGGCUGAUUGAGAUGCAAGCUGAGUUCCACCACCAACAGUCCCAACCUAAAAGAUACAGCAACACAGAUUAUUAGAGACUAACAUAAAUACCCAGAUUUUGUUUUGGCAACGAAAGUCCUUGUGUUGGAUAAUCAGACAGCAACACUAUCAAUUACCUCGAUGGAAGGCAUUGUGACAGAGACGUGGAGGUCCUUUCCAUCAUUAACAGCUUCCAUCAUCGUGAUGCAAUGCGAGCUCUCGACAUUUUGAGCCGGAUCUUGGCCGGUAGCUAUGUAGAUUGCAGCAACGAUGUUACUGGCGUGAGCGUUGAAUCCACCCAGAGCUCCAGCCAUAGCUGAUCCAGUAAGGUUCUUAAGCAUGUUAAGCUCAACGAGAGAUUCCACACUUGUCUUCAAGACCUUCCUAACCACAUCACCCUUAAUGGUGGCUUCACAGACAACAGAUUUGCCUCGUCCUUCAAUCCAAUUUACCGCAGCCGGUUUUUUGUCGGAACAAUAGUUUCCUAUAUGCGCAAAUUCAUAAAUAUCAGUGAUCCUAUGUCGGAACAGUGAAAGACAUAAUUACAAGCCUAUACAAAAAACUGAAACUCACCAGAGAUGCCGAUGACAUCCAUGUCAGGGAAAUCAGUUUGAAGGAAAUCCAAAACGUUUUGCACUCCCUUGGAAACCAUGUUCAUCCCCAUAGCAUCACCUGUACUGCAAGUGAAUCUAAUAUACAGAUUCUUUCCAGCAAUUGCACAUUUGAUACCUUGGAGCCUGCCAAAUCUACUUGAUCUGCAACCACCAAAAAGCCAAAAUUUUCAAUAUUAGCUUGAAUUUUAAAUCCAUCAAUAUGGAGUUCUAGAAAUAUCAACACAAACCUGUUGAAAACAACAGACAAGGUCUCGAAAUUAUCAGGGUCCUCCAAAUACAACUUCAAAUCAGCUGCCCUUUUCGCAGUACCGAACCUUACACAUGGAGCUCUAGUCAUACCAUCUUUCAAUAGAACACUUGUAGCUCCACCAGACAAAUGAAUAGCCUUACAGCCCCUAUUAGUGCUAGCCACCAAGCACCCUUCCGUGGUUGCCAUAGGAACCGAGUACUCUCUUCCAUUAACCAACAAAGGCCCGGAAAUUCCAACGGGAAUUUGCACGUAGCCAACCGGCAUCUCACAACACUGCCCCAAAAUCGACUCGUAAUCAAACCCAUCCAAGGGCAAUCCUGAUAACGACUUCCCUGUUAAUCUUUGCAACGCUUCCCGCCUGAUUGCGGCCGCCCUCUUGCAAUCACCCAAUUUCGAUUCCAAGGAAUACGAAGGGGUUGUACCAGCCACUACAGAUUUAAUUAUUUCUUCAUCUUCCUCCGUUAGUACCGUCACAGGCUUUUCAUCGAACACCUUCUGAACGGUCACGAUUGGUGCCGCAGGAGGCAGAGGUGGAAGCGAACAAUCGAGAGCUUGCCCGCAAGGGACCUUACGGGCAUCUUCCUUUGCAAGCAGAACUUCAUCAUCCUCUUCCUCGUCCUCGGCAAUCCAAACGUCAGGCGAUGGUUGGAAAACCAAAGAUUGAACGAAGUCAAUCCCAAAGAAACCCAAAAGGUAAAUAAAGGACGCUAAAAAUGAGAGAAUGGCGAUGAUCUCGGAAAAGGUGACGACAUGGAGAGGUGUGGAGGUACGGAUCUUCUCACGCCAACGGGAAAGAAGAAAAUAAACCACCGAGAAGAAGAGGGUGAAGAACAGGGCAUUCGUUAGGUGCAAGGGAAGCGGCAAUGCGUCGGAGGCUUUACCGUGAUCUUCCUCUAAAGGAAUCUUCUUCGUUGGCUUGAGAGAUUGAACAGGUUUAGUCGAAUACAGCCGGGGAGCCUCCAUAUUGGGUGUCGACGGCGCGGAAGCCCGGCAGUGGAGAAGGAGAAUAGAAGAGGAGUGGAAGUGAGAGAGGAUUUCAGUUAGUUUUACGAUUAUGGUGAAGGUGGAGUUGGAGAUGCUGGAGUUUAGGGAGGGAAGGGGAGUAUUUAUAGGACAGAGAGUAAAGAGUGGUGGAGCGUGAGGAAAAAGGCGCGUGAAGUGAAGUGUUGGGCCCGUGUGAGUGGGGAGUCAAAGAAAGAAUUUGAAGGGCAGUGUUUGCGUGCAGUGCAUGUGCAUGGGGGCGCAUUGCAUUUUCCUUUCGUUUGGUCUUAUCUCCGUUAACUGCUAUUUUGUAUCUCUUUUAAUUAUUCCUUAUUUUGGGCAUUCAUUAAUUAAUAUGAGACCAUAUUUAAACUUUUGAUGAAUGGUAGUGAUAAAUAUAUAUAAUCUCGAAUAUAAAUCGUAAAAUUAACAUUAAAUAAAUAAAUAUAUAUAAUAUAUGUGAUAAAAUUUAUCAUUAGUAAUAUAGAUAAAGAUCACAGUGGAAUUUACUUCUUCGAUAUUUACAUAUUAUUAGUUUUAUAAUUGUUUAUACAAUGUUUAAAAUUAUAUAUAGCUCCUCUUAAAGGAUAAUGCGCACUCACUGAGUUAGGACUCAAUCGAUAACAAUCUUACAAAUUUUAUUUUAUAUAAAAAGAAGAGCUUCCAUUUUUUAUUAAAAAAUUACAGAUACAAUUGUGUUUAUUUUGAACAAAUGAAUUAUUCAUAUGAAUAUACAUUUUAGGGUAAAUAUUUAUAAAAAUUAAUUUUUUAAACUGGUAUGGUGAUUAACUAUUUAUAUUUAGGGUUUUGCACAGUUUUGUAUACGAUGGUGUAUUAAAUCCUGUGAAAAUAUUUCAAUGGAGAAGGGAGAAUUCAGUCUAUGACAUGAAAUUCAAAAUAGGAUGCCUGCUUUAUUAUUAUAAAUAUUGAUUCAUGCCGUCACCAUUAUUAUUUUAAAUCCUCUAAAUGAUUUAUAUAUUUAUAUAAUUUUGGAUAAUUUAAUUUAUCUUUUAAUGGAAAUGUUAAAAAAAUAAACUAUUAAAAUAGUCACUUUUGUUUACCUUAUAUUACAUUUUAGUUGUUGUAACAUUUUAGUCACUGAGCGGUUAAGUGUCAUUAAUAAUAUAAUGGUAAGCUAAUAUGGCAUGUUAAAUCAUCAUUUCAAACAAAAAAUUCAGGUUAAAUUAUACAAUUGGUCCAAUAUUUCUCUGUUUUGAACAAUUUUUUUCUUUAUUUUCCAUUCUCUUUUAUUUCUCUCUUUGUUUUCCUCCCUUUUUCAUUUUUUUAACUUAAUUUUUCUAUGUUUUCUAUUUGUUAAAACUAGUCCCUAUACUUUUAUUUUUUUGAACAUUUUAAAAUUUUUAAUUUUCCUUUUCUUCUUCUCCUUUAGUUUUAACAAAUGAAAAAUAUAGAAAAAUUACAUUAAAAGAGAUAGAAAAGGGAGAAAAACAGAGGAAGAAGUAGAAGAGAAAGAAAAAUAAAGAAAUUAAAAUGCUCAAAACGAAAAUAAUAUGGGGACCAAAUAUAUAAUUUAACCUAAAAUUUUUGUUUGAAAUGAUGAUUUAAUGUGCCACAUCAGCUUACCGUUACAUCGUUAACGGCUCAGUGACUAAAAUGUUACAACACGUUAACAUAAAUGACUAAAAUGUAACAUUUCAAACAUAACUGACUAAAAUAUAAUAAACUAAAGCAAACAAAAAAGUGACUAUUUUGAUUGUUUCCCUUUAAUAAAUGGUUCAUUACAGUAAUAUAUUAAAUUUAUUCUUAUUUUGUAUUAUUUUUCACAUGUGUAAUAUUCUGAUUAUUUUUUAAUGUUUAAUGUACUAACGUUUAAAUUUAUUCCAUCAUAGCCCAAGAAAAAUAAUAAGAAAUAGACGAUAAGAUUGAAGUAAUAUUUUUUCCAAAAUAACAAGCUUGCAUUCAUGCAUGAGAAUUAUUCAUCACCAUGUGCUAAAGACUUGGACUGUUUGUCAAAGUUUUCUUCAGAAAAAUCAUAUAAUUUAUAAUGGAAGUAUAAGCAGAGUCAGACCAACCAAAGAAGAAUCAUGAUAUCAUCUUUUUUUAUUGCCCAGUAUUUAUUUAGCAAAUAUUGACCGUAAUAUUGUCAUGGUCAGACCAUAUUAUUUUUGCACAAGUGACGCACGAAUAUUCAGUGUAGACUUGCUCAAAACAGUAGGAAAUGAUGAACAAGGUCAUUUCGUAGAAAUUGCAGUCAAUGCUCAUAUUUUGGCUUAAUCCAGCUGGAGUUUAGGUAAAAAUUGAUUCAAAAUUGGAUAACUAUAUAUAUAAUAUUGAUAUCAUAAAUAAGUUAUUUUAAUCCAAGUCAGUUCAAUCCAUGAAUACCUUUAAUAUGUAUACAUGAUAUGAUAUGUGAAAAAUGAGCUCAACUCAUGAAUAUUUCUCAUAUGUAUGCAUGCUUGAUGCAUGAUAUGUGGAAAAUAACUUAACUUGUUGUAUAGGUUUUGUACGGAGUAUGGACGGCAUUUAUAAGUUCAUUUUUGGAACUUGUAUUUUAGAGUGCAGUUGAGAACGUAAAUAAGUUUGUUGAAGUUUUCAGGGGGAGAAUUUAGAGGUGAGUAAUCUAGAUCUUUUGGUACAAAGUGAGGUUGCUCUAGCAGGAUGUGAUAAGACUUGAAUCAUUUGGUGUAUUGGGUUAAAAGAUAGUGGAUUUACUUACUAAGUUAGGCUUCACAAAUAAAGUAAAACUAAACUACGUAAACAACCUUUUGUGUUCUUGUUUUGUUGUUUUUGUCACAAUGCUACCUUCAAUUGGCAUAUCGCAAUUGAAGAAGCAAAAGUUUGUCUGGAAGAAGAAAGAUCCUAAGUGCUUGAUGUACAGUGUUUCGGUAAUGGUUGCUUUCAUCACAUGAUAGGUAAUCAUGCAUACUUUUCUAAUUUUGGAGAUCAUCAUAAGGGUCUAGUCACAUUUGGUGAUGGUAAGAAAUGUCAUAUCCAUGGAAACGGAACACUUAAUGUCCUUGGAAUGCUAAAGUUGAAGAAUGUGUUGAAAGGUCAUAUUGUUAAUGACUUGAAAGCUAAUUUGGUGAGCAUUAUCUAAAUGUGUGACUAAGGCAUGAUUAUCAAUUUCACCAAAGACAAGUAUCUGGUUUCAUCAAAGUCUUAUGAGAAGACUAAUGUUUCUAACUUAGAGUUGUGGCAUGAGAAACUUAGCCACAAUCAUUACAAAGGGCUCCGAAGAUUGGUUUGAUAUGUUGCUGGAAUAGGCAACCCAAAACUAGGUGGUGUCAUUCCUAAAGUCCGUUAUGGAUGCUUGAAAGUUAGAGAGGAUCACAUGGAGAAUCAUCAAAGGUUGUCACAUAUCCAAAUUAUUGCAUCUCUCAAGUUACUACACAUAGAUCUCAUUGGACCUAUGUGAAUCGAGAGCAUUGGAGUAAACCGUUAUGUCCUAGUCUAUGUAGAGGACUUUUCAAGGUACACAUGGGUGAGAUUUUUUAGAGAAUUCUAACACAUCUAAAGAAUUCAGGAAACUAUGCAGAAGAUUUUGUCAAUUUUUAUGACGAGGAAAUGAUCAAACUAAGGCACCGCAAUAUAAUGGAGUUAUGGGACACAAGAACCGUACCAUAUAGGAGAUGGCAUGAGUGUUGCUUAACAACAAAAGAGUUACUCAUAAGUUUUAAGUUGAGGCAGUGAACAUUGCAACCUAUAUCUUUAACAAAGUUCUUACUAGGCGAAAAACUCACAUGACACUUUGUAAGAUGUGAAAUGGGAGGAAGCCAAAUGUCAAGUAUUUCCAUGUGUUUAGAAGUACCUUGAUAGGUGUCGAAUCCACCAAAAAUGAAAUCCUACCCCUAAACAGGAUAUAAAUUAGAAGUUUAAGGAGUAAGGUCGAUCCCACAAGGACUAAUUUAUAUGAACUUGUAGUUUGUUAUAACCAGGACGUAUCGUAAGCAGUUUUGUGCCCAUGAUUUAUGCUAACCUAUACGAAAUAGAAAGAAGGAUUAAAUAUGAAUGUAACUAAAUGUCAAAAAUUAAAUAAUAAUAAUGCAAUAGAAAUAAUCAAAUCAGAAUUAAAAUUGAAUAACCUAAUAAGAUGGAUUUUGACUCUGGCUUUGGAUUGAUCCCAAACAAUGGAUUUUUUCCUCCAAUUGAUAAGUCGGGUAUAGUGACCAAGGAACAACCUCAAAUACCAACCCUUUCGUAUGUAAAUUAACUGCGGGAACAACUCUAAGUUAACCCGUACCAGGUAAAUAACACUGAAAGCAACUUCCAUGAUUUCAUUCCUUGACAACCUCGCGAACUAGAGGGACUCAGCUCAAAUUGACAGCCUCAAUUGCAUGGGUCCACACGCCUACUACCUUUUCCAUCUUUGAUUUUCCAAGUUCUUUUGAAGCAAAAUCCAAGGUUUGUUUGAGCCACAGAGCAUCUUGAAAGAGAAGUUGCUAAGUUGAAAUUCUCUCCAAAAUGGCUCGAGGGAAAACAUGAAUCAAUAGCCCCAACUGAUCUAACUGAAGGAGAAGAAAAAGUUGAAUCUGACCUUGAAACUGUAGCAAUUGCUCCUAUAGUGACUAUUUCAGCAGGUCUUGUGAGCAACCUAGCAGGAUUCAAUCAAAGGAUGGUUAGCAUUUUACUGCUUCUAUUGACUCUCAAAAUUGAUUCAUCUCCAAACUUCGAACUGAAAUCCAAGUCAUUCAACAGAUUCGAGAUCAAGAAAUUGCUUUCCGCAAUGAUUUAUUAACUCAUUCCGAACAAUAAUGUUUGACAUAUUUUUAAAAAAAAGGGAAGUAAAGAGGAAGGAGAUGAUGGCUAAGAUGGUGGCAAGUUGAUUGCUCCUACUAAUGGGAGUUUAUUUUACUUUUGGUUAUUACAAGCUUCAUUUCAUUUUGGGUAUUUCUUUUGAAAUAUUUGUAAUGAUGAACUUUUCUAAUGGAUGGAUGGAUUUUAUUUUGGCGUACAAACUCUUAUCUUCAUCUUACUUAGAUAUAAUUUUAGUAUUUAGAUUGUUGAUACAAAUACUUAAAAGGCAUUAAUGGUUGAUUUACUUGAUUAUGUUUUAAGUUAAGUGUGACGGAUAAGGGGAUUGUACUAAGGGGAAGCAUUUUUUGUUACUGUUGAUAAGCUUCCUAAUUUGAAUUGGUUUUGUUCAAAAAAUUGUAGAAGCAAGUUUCAAAAGUGGCCAGCAAAGUGCCAACGGUAGUGGCCACUAUAGAUAGCAUUGCAAUAGACUCUAUUACUAGCCAUGUUUAGAGUUAGCUUGAAAACGAUGAUGAUAUUAUGAAAAUAUGAAAGUCCAUAUUAUAUUAGUUUUUAUUAUUUAUUGCAUUUUGCUAGUUUAGCUGGUGACACGUUCAAUAAAUAUAAUUUUAAAGGUAUUUUUGUUUUUUUAACUGCAAACUGUUUGGGCAAUAAAUUUAUUUCAAAAGUUGCUUUCAAAUGCUUUAAAAGUUACGGUGUAGUUUACACUAUUCUCAGGUUACAUGGCCUGAAUUUGUCUUUAAAAGAAAGGAAAGAACAAAAUACAAAAUGAAUAAAGAAAAAUCUUUCUGUUCUGUAUAAUCUAUCUACUCCCAUUUACCCGUAGGGUGGCGUUCUUCCGUUCAAUUUCAAUGGCAUUGAUAGAGGGCAGCUUCCACAAGAUGAGUUUAAUCAUCGCCAACUAAUCGUGAAUAACCAAUAUUAAUAAAUAAUCUCCAUUCUUCUCAACCGCCAUAACUGCUCCAUCAACCUGCUAUGUCGGGUGAAAUGGGAACGUACACCUGAGCUACACAAAGGGAUAUAUCUCCUUAGUAAGUUUCUACCAUGGGAGAUUGCCACUUUACCCCCAAAUAUAAGGCCAUCAUUACGUUUUCUCUAUGAAGAAGCCUUGGACACAUCCUUACUUGACCUAUUGUACUUCAUAUGGCUCUUGACUAGUUGCCCUGCUGCAAGUGCUGACAUGAGUGACAGCUCCCCGGCAAGGACAGCACCUGCUACAAUGGUUGCCAGCAUUCUAGAGUUUGCUCCUGGUGUCUCUUUGCUUGCACCCUUCACUCCAAGUAAGUUCAAACAGGCUGACUGAGAUGCAAGCUGUGUUCCACCACCAACGGUACCAACCUAAAAGAUACAGCAACAGAUAUAAUUAGGGGGAUUCAUAAAUACCCAGAUUCUGUUUUGGUAAUGAAAAUCCUUGUGAUGGAUAAUCAGACAGCAACAUAAUCAAUUACCUCGAUGGAAGGCAUUGUGACAGAGAUGUGGAGGUCCUUGCCCUCGUUAACAGCUUCCAUCAUAGUGAUGCAAUGAGAGCUCUCAACAUUUUGAGCCGGAUCUUGGCCCGUAGCUAUGUAGAUUGCAGUGACGAUGUUACUGGCGUGAGCAUUGAAUCCACCCAGAGCUCCAGCCAUAGCUGAUCCAGUAAGGUUCUUGAGCAUGUUAAGCUCAACGAGAGAUUCCACACUUGUCUUCAAGACCUUCCUAACCACAUCACCCUUAAUGAUGGCUUCGCAAACAACAGAUUUGCCUCGUCCUUCAAUCCAAUUUACAGCCGCUGGUUUUUUGUCGGAACAAAAGUUUCCUAUAUGGACAAAUUCAUAAAUUUCAGUAAUCCUAUAUAGAACAGUAAAAACAUAGAACACAAUUACAAGUCUAUGGAAAAGUGAAACUCACCAGAGAUGCCAAUGACAUCCAUGUCAGGGAAAUCAGUUUGAAGGAAAUCCAAAACAUUUUGGACUCCCUUGGAAACCAUGUUCAUCCCCAUAGCAUCACCUGUACUGCAAGUGAAUCUAAUAUACAGAUUCUUUCCAGCAAUUGCACAUUUGAUACCUUGGAGCCUGCCAAACCUACUUGAUCUGCAACCACCAAAAAGUCAAAAUUUUCAAUAUUAGCUUGAAUUUUAAAUCCUUCAAUAUGGAGUUCUAGAAAUAUCAACACAAACCUGUUGAAAACAACAGACAAGGUCUCGAAAUUAUCAGGGUCCUCCAAAUACAACUUCAAAUCAGCUGCCCUUUUCGCAGUACCGAACCUUACACAUGGAGCUCUUGUCAUACCAUCUUUCAAUAGAACACUUGUAGCUCCACCAGACAAAUGAAUAGCCUUACAGCCCCUAUUAGUGCUAGCCACCAAGCACCCUUCCGUGGUUGCCAUAGGAACCGAGUACUCUCUUCCAUUAACCAACAAAGGCCCGGAAAUUCCAACGGGAAUUUGCACGUAGCCAACCGGCAUCUCACAACACUGCCCUAAAAUCGACUCGUAAUCAAACCCAUCCAAGGGCAAUCCAGAUAACGACUUCCCUGUUAAUCUUUGCAACGCUUCCCGCCUGAUUGCGGCCGCCCUCUUGCAAUCACCCAAUUUCGAUUCCAAGGAAUACGAAGGGGUUGUACCAGCCACUACAGAUUUAAUUAUUUCUUCAUCUUCCUCCGUUAGUACCGUCACAGGCUUUUCAUCGAACACCUUCUGAACGGUCACGAUUGGUGCCGCAGGAGGCAGAGGUGGAAGCGAACAAUCGAGAGCUUGCCCGCAAGGGACCUUACGGGCAUCUUCCUUUGCAAGCAGAACUUCAUCAUCCUCUUCCUCGUCCUCGGCAAUCCAAACGUCAGGCGAUGGUUGGAAAACCAAAGAUUGAACGAAGUCAAUCCCAAAGAAACCCAAAAGGUAAAUAAAGGACGCUAAAAAUGAGAGAAUGGCGAUGAUCUCGGAAAAGGUGACGACAUGGAGAGGUGUGGAGGUACGGAUCUUCUCACGCCAACGGGAAAGAAGAAAAUAAACCACCGAGAAGAAGAGGGUGAAGAACAGGGCAUUCGUUAGGUGCAAGGGAAGCGGCAAUGCGUCGGAGGCUUUACCGUGAUCUUCCUCUAAAGGAAUCUUCUUCGAUGGCUUGAGAGAUUGAACAGGUUUAGUCGAAUACAGCCGAGGAGCCUCCAUAUUAGGUGUCGACGGCGGCAGAAGCCCGGCAGUGGAGAAGAAGAAUAGAAGAGGAAUGGAAGUGAGAGAGGAUUUCAGUUAGUUUUACGAUUAUGGGGGAAGGUGGAG